AAGGCUUGCAAGGGGCGUGGGUCUUCAGUACGGCGUUGGCUUCCGGAGGGGGAGGUGCUGCGGGUUCUUGGCUUCUUGUACCGUUUUAUACCUACCAGCCAAGAUCUCGCCUCGACUGACUGACUGACUGACACGUGCUCCGCCCCGCCCACCACAGGAGCUCUCCAUUCACCGGGGCCCAGAACUGGAGGAGGGGAGUCGCUUGUGCCGGGAGAAGAGUGCCAGCCGCUUCCGUCCAUGGGCAGAGGCGGAGUCCUCGUCAUCGUCGUCUGGUAGCCCCGGCAGGUAGGGGUAUGUAGACAUGUCCAGCAAUACUGUGGGGUAUCGGAUGUACCCUGCGGAAGGAGGGGGAACAUGAGUGUGUCUGAAGAGGAGGUCAGGAAGUAAGUAUGGAGUGGAUGAUGAACAAACCCCUUCUGUCCAGUCCACUUACAACACUGUUCCAGCAGCACCCCACCAGCCAAGCCUCUCCAAUUUCCUGCACCUCCUCCUCUAAGAUAUCUGUGAAUCUCCUUUUCCUCCAAGCUAGAGUAUGUUUGCUAAUUUGUACAUGCCAUCCCAAUCACUAUUCAUUCAGGGAAACUCCUCUGAAGAAUUGAGCCGAGGUAGAGAAAUGAGCUUGUUGAAUUGAAGAAAGGUAAUCUAUCUUCAUUUUGACAUUAGUUCAUUAUGUGAGUAGUAAUUGGAAUGGUGCGUGAUUGGUCUACGAUGUGACUUGCACCACGAAAAAAGAUGCAUGUGAGUGUUCCAUAUAAUAAUAAAUAAAGUCGAGUAUCUAA
Long non-coding RNA from Eriocheir sinensis (Chinese mitten crab), 779 nucleotides. RefSeq lists it as uncharacterized. The record is from RefSeq and is a predicted model, not a curated record. Lineage: Eukaryota; Metazoa; Arthropoda; Malacostraca; Decapoda; Varunidae. The transcript has 4 exons.